Molecule: long non-coding RNA, 1955 nt
Organism: Tyto alba (common barn owl)
Lineage: Eukaryota; Metazoa; Chordata; Aves; Strigiformes; Tytonidae
Exons: 3
Source: RefSeq, a predicted model, not a curated record
CAAAGACAUGUUCUCCAACAGAUACAAAGCAAAACAUAUUUAUACAAUUUUUCAGCAGAUUCAUGGUUACAUAAGUUCUUUUACAUAAAAAUGCAUAGAAUGCUCGCUUCUUAAUUUGACCUUUAUGAUGAUUGGUUUUAUCAAUUAUCCAGAUUUCUAUUCUAAAGUAAUCAUCGGUUAACUGUACUGAUUGUAAUCCUUGAUAUUCAAAUCAAAGAGGGAAGGGCAGUGAUUAGCAUAUUCAUGUUAUUUCCUGGAAAUAAUUAUCAUAUGCAAAUGUCUCUAAUGCAUGCAUGGUUAAUUUUUGGACAGGCGUCCUCUGGUGGUCGUCGAUAGUCUCCUUCACUGUGUCCUGUGUCCGCUGACUGAACUCCAUCCUUGCACGCAUCCAUUUCAACCUCUGGCUGAUCUUCCAAACCAAGGCCAGUUUCUUCUGGUACCCAUUGUUUUCAUUCAGAGUCCAUUAUGAUUUCCACAGUAAUUGAGGCAAACACAAUACCAGUUACUUGUUUCUAAGGACCUCGACAUACCCUAUGUUCUCAUAGCUGCUAUAACUCUAUAUCACCCAUAAAACCAAAAAUCAAAAUCAUAUUCUAAGAUUCAAGCUAUUUCGCUAGGGUAAUUGUAACAGUCUCAAGUCAACAGCAUACGUACUUGACCCCUAUGUUUUAUUUUCUCCAAUAUGAAAAAGAGUAAGAAAAUGAAGUAAUUUAUACCUACUUUAUUACUUGUUCUCAGAGUUCUAGCAGAAAUUUUAAUUUAAUUCCUGAACAUGGAUAUUUCAAAAUACUAGCAGUAAAUGUAGAAUAUGUCUGUAAUAACUGCUUGUUUUCAAAUAAGGUUAUACAUUUUAUCUCAGAGCAGAGAUUUAUACAAAGCAAGUGUAUUAACAUAUUUGGGGUUGGGUGCCUGUUUUCAGAAAAUUUCUUACACUCUUCAACUAACCAUUCUUAUUUUUUAAUUAAAUCACUCAAAUCAUUGUAGCAAACCAUUUGAACUGUUUAACAUCCUUCUUUGAAGUACUAUUGCUUCAAGCAUCUAAAGUUAAUGAAUUGGUCUCCUAAAAAAAAAACAUUUGUAGGGGCUGGGGAGUGCCACUUGUUUUUUAGAGUUUUCUGGCAUUGCAAUUGAUAUUUUCCAGUCUAAUAAUGAAAGCAAGCAAGUAGCUGAGGUUCUGGUGUGUUCAAAUAAUCUUCAGGGUCUAAGGACCAUGUUAAGAAGACCAAGUAUCACAGGCUUUGUAAUAAAAUCUCACAAACUGUCAUUUUUUUCUUGUCUGUAUUGGGUGCAUAUUUUUUUCCUUUCUGUACUUUGCUGCAGCAUUAAAUUGUAAAUUUCUUAGGAUGAGAUAUUUAGUUAGCAUGUGGCUUCAAUAAAUACAUGGAACUAUUCUUUGUUAUUUUACUUGAGCUAGUGUUUUGGGAAGGUUAGAAACUGAAUACCCAGAUUUAAUCAUGGGAGGAAUUAUUUUAAUGCUAGAGAAUAAUGUCAAACACUGUAUACAUGACCAGCUGUAAUAACCACAGAUGUCUAACCCUGAUAUCCCUGAUGAAGAUUUAUGGUGCUGUCUCCUACUGCUAACUUUGUAGUAAACAGUGUCUUCGAUGCUUGAAUAGAUUUUUCUCCACAAACCUGCUGUACUGUGAUGGUAGAUAGCCAAAACAAAACCACUGUAAAAUUAAAAUUUAUGUAAAGAUAGAAUGUACAAGAAUAAAAUUAUUAGUCCAAAUCAUACUAAUUAAUUCCAUUACCCCAGUCUUGCUGUAAUAAUACGUAGCUGCUAACCUUUCAGUCAGCCCAGUCUGUCCCAGCCUCAAGCCCUGCACCAUCUAGAAACUUAAAGGCAAACCCACAUAUGAAACUUCUUGAUGGAAAAGCAGAAGUCUUUGCCAAGGAUGUAUUUCCCCCCAAAAAGGGUGCAGAUAUAAAAUAUUAGGGAGUAUAAAACAUAUGUU